Non-coding RNA from Prunus mume (Japanese apricot), 386 nucleotides. The record is from RefSeq and is a predicted model, not a curated record. Lineage: Eukaryota; Viridiplantae; Streptophyta; Magnoliopsida; Rosales; Rosaceae.
UGAAUCAGGCACUCGGGCACCAGCUGACCCGCAGGAGGGACCUUCCAAAGGUCCAGCGAGCUCGGACCAACUGCUGUAGACGUGCAUCCGAGAGCCACCACAGGGCAUUCCCCGCUUCCCGUUCUUCCCCAUUUUGAUGUAGGGUUCCUUGGUUCACAACGGUUAUCUCCUUUGUAAUUAAACCUGUAUAGAUGCUCUGAAAUUGCCCUGGGACGUCUUUUAACUGUUGGAACUUACUUAUUUUUGUGUACUGGCAGUUGGUGUAUAUAUUUAAGUACUUGUUGACAGGUGUAAAUUUUGGGAACGUUCAAUUUACAGCGGAGACUCUGCCGAAUUUUCGGUAGAAGUCAGGAUUUAAGGGAAUUAAGUUUUUAAUCAAAAAAAAA